This 513-nucleotide ribosomal RNA is filed under the name Amolops cremnobatus. Its description in RNAcentral is "partial 12S ribosomal RNA". It matches the Rfam family "Bacterial small subunit ribosomal RNA", at positions 794 to 1533 of the family's 1533-position model. Lineage: Eukaryota; Metazoa; Chordata; Amphibia; Anura; Ranidae. The record is from RNAcentral.
GCCCAGCCGUAAACAAUUAACUUACACCUACCAGCGCCAGGGAAUUACGAGCUAUGCUUAAAACCCAAAGGACUUGACGGUGUCCCACCCCCCUAGAGGAGCCUGUUUUGUAAUCGAUAAUCCCCGCUAUACCUCACCAUUUCUAGCCUUAUCAGUCUGUAUACCUCCGUCGAAAGCCUACCAUGUGAACGUCUGUCUACAGUAGGCCUAAUGAUCCUAACAUCAAUACGUCAGGUCAAGGUGCAGCUUACGAAAUGGAAGCUAAUGGGCUACAAUUUCUAAUUUAGAACAAACGAAAGCCUGCAUGAAACUGCAACACGAAGGUGGAUUUAGUAGUAAAAAGAAAAUAGAGAGUUCUUUUUAACCCGGCCCUGGGACGUGUACAAACCGCCCGUCACCCUCUUCGACAGCUACAACUCAGAUUAAUAACCUUACAUUUGCACCAGAGAAGAGGCAAGUCGUAACAUGGUAAGCGUACUGGAAAGUGCACUUGGACUACAAAAUGUAGCUUAA